AUGAUUCUGAGUCCUUCUUUACAACAAAAGGAUAAAAUCAUUCUUCAAUUGAAAGCUCAAGAUUUCUAUAGAAAUAUCAUUCGGAACGCAACUCCUACCAUGAAAACAUAUGCAGAUGACAUCCAUUCUUCAUUUCUGAAAACCAUGACAACUUCCAGCAGCCAAAAUGUGCAAAUUAAACCAACACUUUCAGAGAACACAUUCAAAGUUCCUAUGUCUAAAGAAUUGUUGGCUAUACAAUCACCUCGCAUAUUACCAAUGCUAGAUGUUCCAACAAUAAUUGAUAAAGAUAAACGAGUCAACAUACAUGAAAUUCUUGAUUCAUUGGUCAAUGAUUUCCCGCAGUCUGUCAACAUAACAAGUACCAAUCUCUCUCUCUCUCUCUCUUUGUAUGGUAAUCUACCAUCUUUUGAACAACUUGCUUGCCCAAAGCUUUUUGUCAAGAGAUCAGUUCCAAAAGUAACACCCAGCAUUGAUGUUUCAGCACUGUUACAUCGUAUUUUUCUUCUCUAUAGCUGUUACUCAAUAUAUUUUUUUCUCAGUGCCCAAAUAAAUAAUGAAAUAACUCGUACCAUAUAUAUUUUUCUCUUGUACACAAUACUUGUCUGA
This 609-nucleotide ribosomal RNA is filed under the name Triticum aestivum (bread wheat). RNAcentral describes it as "partial small subunit ribosomal RNA". The record is from RNAcentral. Lineage: Eukaryota; Viridiplantae; Streptophyta; Magnoliopsida; Poales; Poaceae.